GAUGAACGCUGGCGGCGUGCCUAAUACAUGCAAGUCGAGCGAACGGACGAGAAGCUUGCUUCUCUGAUGUUAGCGGCGGACGGGUGAGUAACACGUGUAUAACCCACUUAUAAGACUGGGAAAACUUCGGGACACCGGCGCUAAUACCGGAUAAUCUUUUGCACCGCAUGGUUCAAUAGUAAAAUACGGCCUUGCUGUCACUUAUCGCUGGAUCCGCGCUGCAUUAGCUAGUUGUUAAGGUAACGGCUUAUCACGGCAACGAUGCAUAGCCGACGUGCUGGGGUGGUAGGCCACACUGGAAGUGAGACACGGUCCAGACUCCUGCGAGAGGCAGCAGUAGGGAAUCUUCGGCAGUGGGCGAAAGCCUGGCGGAGCAACGCCGCGUGAGUGAUGAAGGUCUUCGGAUCGGAAAACUCUGUUAUUAGGGAAGAACAGAUGUGUAAGUAACUGUGCACAGCUUGACGGUACCUAAUCAGAAAGCCACGGCUAACUACGUG
This 497-nucleotide ribosomal RNA is filed under the name uncultured bacterium. RNAcentral's name for it is "partial 16S ribosomal RNA". It matches the Rfam family "Bacterial small subunit ribosomal RNA", at positions 28 to 507 of the family's 1533-position model. The record is from RNAcentral.